RNAcentral lists this ribosomal RNA (67 nucleotides) under Opitutia bacterium. Its description in RNAcentral is "partial 16S ribosomal RNA". The stretch from base 1 to 55 matches the Rfam family "Bacterial small subunit ribosomal RNA", at positions 1479 to 1533 of the family's 1533-position model. The record is from RNAcentral. Lineage: Bacteria; Pseudomonadati; Verrucomicrobiota; Opitutia.
GACGAAGUCGUAACAAGGUAACCGUAGGGGAACCUGCGGUUGGAUCACCUCCUUUCUAUAGGAGAAA